UAGGGAAUCUUCCACAAUGGACGCAAGUCUGAUGGAGCAACGCCGCGUGAGUGAAGAAGGUUUUCGGACCGUAAAGCUCUGUUGUUGGUGAAGAAGGAUAGAGGUAGUAACUGGCCUUUAUUUGACGGUAAUCAACCAGAAAGUCACGGCUAACUACGUGCCAGCAGCCGCGGUAAUACGUAGGUGGCAAGCGUUGUCCGGAUUUAUUGGGCGUAAAGCGAGCGCAGGCGGAAGAAUAAGUCUGAUGUGAAAGCCCUCGGCUUAACCGAGGAAUUGCACCGGAAACUGUUUUUCUUGAGUGCAGAAGAGGAGAGUAGAACUCCAUGUGUAGCGGUGGAAUGCGUAGAUAUAUGGAAGAAUACCAGUGGCGAAGGCGGCUCUCUGGUCUGCAACUGACGCUGAGGCUCGAAAGCAUGGGUAGCGAACAGGAUUAGAUACCCUGGUAGUCCAUGCCGUAAACGAUGAGUGCUAAGUGUUGGGAGGCUUCCGCCUCUCAGUGCUGCAGCUAACGCAUUAAGCACUCCGCCUGGGGGAGUACGACCGCAAGGUUGAAAC
Molecule: ribosomal RNA, 555 nt
Filed under: uncultured bacterium
Lineage: Bacteria
Description: partial 16S ribosomal RNA
Rfam family: Bacterial small subunit ribosomal RNA
Source: RNAcentral